AUGCACUGAGAGAUUAUGUUCU
This 22-nucleotide microRNA is filed under the name Oreochromis niloticus (Nile tilapia). Its description in RNAcentral is "oni-miR-10925". The record is from miRBase by way of RNAcentral. Lineage: Eukaryota; Metazoa; Chordata; Actinopteri; Cichliformes; Cichlidae.